RNAcentral lists this unclassified non-coding RNA (395 nucleotides) under Galba truncatula. RNAcentral describes it as "sequence contains ITS2". The record is from RNAcentral. Lineage: Eukaryota; Metazoa; Mollusca; Gastropoda; Lymnaeidae.
GCUCUCGCAAAACCGAAGCCUUGCGGCGUGAGCUCUCACGCUGCUCGGCGAUGGUUGGAUACGCCCUGGACCCUCGCGGCCAAAGCUGUCGUUGCCUGCUCGGCGGCGACGGUGACGGCCCCGUGGUCUUAAGCGCAAGCCGCGCCGUUGUCCGUUCAUCUCGUAACGUCUUCGACGCUGCCCUGCUCUUGGCGGCCUGUCCGUUUUCUCUACCGCCAGGCAGGACCCGGCUCGCUUACUUUAUUUAUUAUCGUGGCGUUCUCGGGCCUGCAGUCCAUGGCAUCGCAGCUCGUGGGUGGAGAACAAGGGGCUCUAAGACGCUACGUGGUCGGCGCCCGUCGUUGAAUGAAACAUUAUUUGUUUCUUUUCUCCGACCUCAGAUCGGACGAGAUUAC